Hordeum vulgare subsp. vulgare (domesticated barley) is the source of this 125-nucleotide non-coding RNA. The record is from Rfam. NCBI's taxonomy places the organism in Eukaryota, Viridiplantae, Streptophyta, Magnoliopsida, Poales, Poaceae.
CUUAUACUCCCUCCGUCUGGAAUUACUUGUCGUAAAAAUUAAUUAAAAUAAAUGUAUUUAAAACUAAAAUACAUCUAGAUACAUUCAUUCCUCCGACAAGCAUUUUCGGACGGAGGGAGUAUAUG